This 1641-nucleotide ribosomal RNA is filed under the name Triticum aestivum (bread wheat). RNAcentral's name for it is "partial small subunit ribosomal RNA". The record is from RNAcentral. Lineage: Eukaryota; Viridiplantae; Streptophyta; Magnoliopsida; Poales; Poaceae.
AUGCAUUUCCCAAACAGACCAAUCCAGGUGGAGAAGAGAAUGCGACGUCGUGGGAAGCUUGUUGAUGACAGGUGGUGGGAUGAAGUAAUGAUUGCCAACUCGUAUGCCCUGCUCAUUGGUUACCUGUCCAUGGCCGUCAAGGGCCUGGGUUUUCUGGUGCUUACUUGGACCACCGUAGUUCUUCUGGGUGGCUUCGUCUCUACACUGCAGAAGAAGGAUUUUUGGUGUCUUACCUUCAUUACCCUAGUACAGACAGCUGGGAUCUUCGAUGUUCUUCUAACUGAAAAGCUGAGCUAUAUUGGCAAAUCAAUCUGGGCUGUUUUAUUACCCCUGUCUGUUGACAACCUUUUGCAGCGUAAAUGCUGGGUGCUAGCAGAAUUUGCAACGAUUGUUCAAGUAGUAGUAUUUGCCAUUCUAUUGUGCCCUCUGGAAGCUGUCUACAUGUUUGGGUUGUUAAUCUCCACGGGGAUUUCGAUGUGGCGUCUGAGACAGCAUGAUUACGGGAGUGAUGCUGACGGACUAGGAAACCUGAAGCCGGCGCUGGACGUCUUGUAUUCCAUUGCUGUAUUCCAGGGUGUGAUUUUCUGCUACAAAACCUUAUUUGGUUUUGCAAAGGGAUCUGUAGUGAAUACAGUACUUGAAAGAAUGAAGUUUGGGAAUCAGGUUCGUGUUGGAAUCUCGGACUACUUACUUGAAACGACAAUCGGAUGUGAAAAGAACCCGUCGUUCGCUGGAGGAAGAAACCUCGUCUCAUAUGCUGUGGACCUCAUGGGGUCUAAGUUACCUGAUGACUAUGUUUCCGGGUUAAGGAUCCUGGAUGCAUUCACCAGACGAAUGAAGAUAUCUGCCAAGGGUUUUGAAGAAAUAAGUAUCUUUUUCACUAGGAGGAAAUUGAAGAUGUUCGUGCAGGAGCACAUGCUCAUGAAGUAUCUGAUCAUGUCUGCAUCCUCUACUGACUUACUCCAGAAACUGCUGCAGACGUUAGGCUCCAGUAGUAUAUAUGACAGAGAGACGAGGGGGUGCGCUGCGAGGAUUGUGGCCCAGAUUGCUGCAGGCAUUCGUUUGGAGGAGAUCCCAACGGGGGUUGUUUACAUAUUUUCUCUCAUCAACUCAUUCGAAACAUACAGUUUACUCCAACCAUACCAGGUAGAGUGGGCACAAGAGACAUUCGAAAAAAAUUGGUACAGUAUGGCUCGCCAUCUGCAGUCACCAGAUCUUGAUAGCAAAGAGGACAGUCAUGAAGAGCGAGGGGACAGUGAUGGUGAACUUUUUAACGCCUACAAGGAUUUAAUGGAGCAAGGUUUUUGUAUCAUUCGGAAGCUCGCAACCAAUAAUGACAAUUGCAGAAUCAUGCUCGACACCCCAUGCCUGCUCCAAAAGAUCAUGGCGCCUGUGACCUCCGACCUACUCCACCAAAUAGAUCAUGGUGCAUGGCAUGGCAUAGUAGAGGGUUCAAUGAAAGCGAUUAUGUGGCUCGUGGCUGCUACUGGGCAGACCGGCACCAAGCUGCGUAGCAAAAUCUCAAGCAGUAAGGAAGCGAUCAGCACCAUGGAGAGGAUUCUUGACUGUGAAGAAUGCGAUGAAAAGCUGCAGCAACAUGUUAUUCUGGUUCUCAGAGACCUAUACAUGGAUACAUUUUGA